GAUGAACGCUAGCGACAGGCCUAACACAUGCAAGUCGAGGGGCAGCACAAGGAGCAAUCUGAGGUGGCGACCGGCGCACGGGUGAGUAACACGUAUGCAACCUACCUGUAAGCGGGGAAUAACCCGUUGAAAGACGGACUAAUACCGCAUAAUACUGAAGAUCUGCAUGGAUAUUCAGUUAAACAUUUAUGGCUUACAGAUGGGCAUGCGCAUGAUUAGAUAGUUGGAGAGGUAACGGCUCCCCAAGUCAACGAUCAUUAGGGGUUCUGAGAGGAAGGUCCCCCACACUGGUACUGAGACACGGACCAGACUCCUACGGGAGGCAGCAGUGAGGAAUAUUGGUCAAUGGGCGAGAGCCUGAACCAGCCAAGUCGCGUGCAGGAAGAAUGUCCUAUGGAUUGUAAACUGCUUUUGCAGGGGAAUAAAGUGAGCCACGUGUGGUUUUUUGUAUGUACUCUGCGAAUAAGGAUCGGCUAACUCCG
This 482-nucleotide ribosomal RNA is filed under the name uncultured bacterium. RNAcentral's name for it is "bacterial SSU rRNA". It matches the Rfam family "Bacterial small subunit ribosomal RNA", at positions 28 to 505 of the family's 1533-position model. The record is from RNAcentral.